GGGGAUUUAGCUCAGCGGCAUAAGCGCCUGCCUUGCAAGCAGGCAGUCGGGAGUUUGAUCCCCG
Molecule: transfer RNA, 64 nt
Filed under: Cavia porcellus (domestic guinea pig)
Lineage: Eukaryota; Metazoa; Chordata; Mammalia; Rodentia; Caviidae
Rfam family: tRNA
About the family: Transfer RNA (tRNA) molecules are approximately 80 nucleotides in length. Their secondary structure includes four short double-helical elements and three loops (D, anti-codon, and T loops).
Source: Rfam by way of RNAcentral